This is a non-coding RNA of Schistosoma rodhaini, 45 nucleotides long. Lineage: Eukaryota; Metazoa; Platyhelminthes; Trematoda; Strigeidida; Schistosomatidae. The record is from Rfam.
AUCCAGCUGACGAGACUCAAAUAGGACGAAACGCGCAUCUUGGAU